Non-coding RNA from Pristionchus pacificus, 62 nucleotides. NCBI's taxonomy places the organism in Eukaryota, Metazoa, Nematoda, Chromadorea, Rhabditida, Neodiplogasteridae. The record is from Rfam.
UCUUCAUUUCACGUACUCUCUCACCGGCUCAGAGAGGCGAGAGAGUGUGCGAAAUGAAGAGA